This 1008-nucleotide long non-coding RNA is filed under the name Bos taurus (domestic cattle). Its description in RNAcentral is "long non-coding RNA NONBTAT024339". Lineage: Eukaryota; Metazoa; Chordata; Mammalia; Artiodactyla; Bovidae. The record is from RNAcentral.
AAUACAUUGUUCUGUUCUUUGUUCUUAUUUUUCCCAAAGUGAAAUUUUUCAUUCAUCAGAGACAUUACCAGUUUAACCUGUGCUUCAGAGGGCUUUGGAGCCGUCAGUCUAUAUCUUCAAGAGGUUUUAUUUUUAUAAUGGAAAUCUAACUAACAAAUUAAUAACAUGGGCCGCUAUUCUGCUACCCAUAGAAAAUGUUCAGGGUAUUAUGAUUUCAGGGUAAUGAUAAUCAUGAUUUAGGCAUAGCUCAUUUGUAACUUUAUAGUUUAUAAGAUAGCUGGAGGAAGAGUCAUUCCAGAGGUGAGGGAAGACCAGGGAUUGAAAGGGUCUCUAAUUCCUAGAUUAUGAAGUUUGAAGGGAAUUACCAGCAAAAUAAAGCUAAAAGGCUUUUAAACAUCUGUGGGCUUGGUUGCUGGCUACAAAUUGAAUAAAUAUCUCCUUUGGAUUAGUAGUAUAGGUGGAAACCUGUACUUUUAGAUUGCUUUGAAAGGCCUUUCCCAGUUCUAGGAAUGCCAUACAAUGUGGAGGUGAUGUUGAAAGAAGUGAAUUCUGUCUUUGAAUGUCUAGCAGCUUGGCCUACUGUGAUGAGAAAGGAGAACAAGAUUUGUUUUUUCUCAGAAUGUCCUAAUAUUAGAAUCAACCGUAACUUUCAAUAACCAAAUUGCCUUUAAUUUUCAUAGUGAAAUAGAGAGAAAUUAGAUAUCUGUCUUUUCUGUAUUGUAGUUUAGAAAGGUUGGUUUUUCAAAGUAGGAUGGAUGGUGUUUGUGAAGCCCUGAUAGAUUUGUUCAGGAAAAAAGCCUAUUCAGUGUUAAGAAAAAAGCCUAUUCAGUGUUAGGAAAGAAGUAAUCUGCCACUAUGCAAUGGGUCCCGUGUUAAAUGUUGCAGUGUUUCAUGAGCACAAAGUGAGGCAACACUAUAAAGAAUCGGAUGGGACAAAGAGUCACCUCGCCCAUGUUUUUUUUUUCCCUUCAAGAAUUACUUGCCAUAAUAAACUUGAUUUCUGUUUCC